AGCAGCAGCCGCGGUAAUACGUAGGUGGCAAGCGUUGUCCGGAAUUAUUGGGCGUAAAGCGCGCGCAGGCGGAUCAGUUAGUCUGUCUUAAAAGUUCGGGGCUUAACCCCGUGAUGGGAUGGAAACUGCUGAUCUAGAGUAUCGGAGAGGAAAGUGGAAUUCCUAGUGUAACGGUGAAAUGCGUAGAUAUUAGGAAGAACACCAGUGGCGAAGGCGACUUUCUGGACGAAAACUGACGCUGAGGCGCGAAAGCCAGGGGAGCGAACGGGAUUAGAUACCCCUGUAGUCCCUGUCUCUUAUACA
Molecule: ribosomal RNA, 303 nt
Filed under: uncultured bacterium
Lineage: Bacteria
Description: partial 16S ribosomal RNA
Rfam family: Bacterial small subunit ribosomal RNA
Source: RNAcentral